UUUCCUCGUAGUAGCCUGCUGCUGCCUGGCUGACAUGGGACGAUCAGACCCUCACAGGAUCAUGGCCAUGAUGCAGACCGUGGCGAGCUCCAGUCCCGGGCAGUCCUGUGUGCUGAUUCUGAUCUUCACAGUGCUCCUGCAGUCCCUGUGUGUGGCUGUGACUUACAUCUACUUCACCAAUGAGCUGAAGCAGAUGCAGGACAAGUACUUCCAAGGUGUCGUUGCCUGUUUCUUAAAGGAAGAUGACCGAUUUUGGGACCCCACUGAUGAAGAUUCUAUGAAUAGCCCCUGCUGGCAAGGGAAGUGGCAACUCCGCCAGUUUGUCAGGAAGAUGAUUUUGAGAACCUAUGAGGAAACCAUUCCUACAGUUGAAGAAAAGCAAGUUAUUUCUUCCCUAGAAAGAGAAAGAAGACCUCAGAGAGUAGCAGCUCACAUAACAGGGACCACUCGGAGAAGCAUUACAUUCUUAGAUCCAGACUCCAAGAGUGAAAAGGCUUUGGGCCAGAAAAUAAAAUCCUGGGAGUCAUCAAGGAAGGGACAUUCAUUCCUGAAAAAUUUGCACUUGAGGAAUGGAGAACUUGUCAUCCAUCAAACAGAGCCACCGACAUCUCUAGCCUGGAUUACAGCAAUACCCUUCAACCAAUCUCUCUCCUUUUGCCCUGCUCAAUCAAAUCUCAGCCAGAUGGCUCCUGUUAAAACCCAAGUCAUGUCAUUUCUCUGCUCAACCAAGUUCGAUGGAUUCCCUUCUGCUACAAGUGGUUUACAGUCUCAAGAGCAGAGAGUGACAUACCAUGCGUGGUCCCCACGUCACCACCAGAAGGGAAGAUUACUACUUUUCUUCUUGUUUGCCAAUGAGUGAAACAGUAUCUCAUUUUUCUGCCAAUGGCCAAGUUUCUUUAUCUGCUGUUUUCGUGUUGGUCAGCAAAGAAUUAUUCUGCUUACAAUACUGACUGCUCCAGCAAUUGUCAUGCAGGACCCAACUCAUACAGACUUGCAAGAGAGAGUGUCAGCCUUGCUUUGGAAUGCUGCCUUCAGUAAACACCUUGGUAGUGUGAAAUUGACCACAGGGGGAGUAGUUAACUCAGAAAUUGGCAAACAUUACAAAUUGAAGCUUUGGCUUAUUUUCCCUGAAGAUCUGGUUGUUGAACAUUUCCCAGUACACCAUGGCUCCAGCCAUUUUUAAUACAUUCUCCAUACCAAGGUCUGUUAUACAACUAUGCAACAGAGAAUAUCUGCCCAUGAUCAAAGCAUUGGCAAUACAUUUGUAGCUUAGCAUGAAUUUAUUGUCUGUAAUGAUCAGUUAAAUCCAUCUUGCAAUGAAAUGAUGUAGCCUAUGUUUAAAAUUUUAAAAUUUUGGUUUGUGUAGGGGUUUUCCUAAGUAAAUAUUUGUAUUAGAUUGUGCAGAUGAAAUCAAAGAAAAAAUAUCUUCUCUUUGUACUUUCUGAAGCUACGAGUAUAUUUAUAUUGUAUAAUUCAUGUAAACCACUUAUGUAUGAAUAAAGCAGGAUUCAGCAUACAAGUCAA
Molecule: RNA transcript, 1524 nt
Organism: Marmota flaviventris (yellow-bellied marmot)
Lineage: Eukaryota; Metazoa; Chordata; Mammalia; Rodentia; Sciuridae
Gene: Tnfsf10
Gene name: TNF superfamily member 10
Source: RefSeq, a predicted model, not a curated record